UACAGAGGGUGCGAGCGUUGUCCGGAAUCACUGGGCGUAAAGGGCGCGUAGGUGGCGACCCAAGUCGAUGGUGAAAGCUCGCCGCUCAACGGCGAGUCGGCCACCGAUACUGGGUUGCUUGAGCACUGUAGAGGCUAAUGGAAUUCCGGGUGUAGCGGUGGAAUGCGUAGAGAUCCGGAAGAACACCGGUGGCGAAGGCGGUUAGCUGGGCAGUUGCUGACACUGAGGCGCGACAGUGUGGGGAGCAAACAGG
RNAcentral lists this ribosomal RNA (253 nucleotides) under uncultured bacterium. Its description in RNAcentral is "partial 16S ribosomal RNA". It matches the Rfam family "Bacterial small subunit ribosomal RNA", at positions 524 to 776 of the family's 1533-position model. The record is from RNAcentral.